UACGUAGGGGGCAAGCGUUGUCCGGAUUUAUUGGGCGUAAAGAGCGUGUAGGCGGCCAAGCAGGUCAGCUGUGAAAACUCGAGGCUCAACCUCGAGACGUCGGUUGAAACCGCUUGGCUAGAGUCCGGAAGAGGAGAGUGGAAUUCCCGGUGUAGCGGUGAAAUGCGCAGAUAUCGGGAAGAACACCCGUGGCGAAGGCGGCUCUCUGGGACGGUACUGACGCUGAGACGCGAAAGCGUGGGGAGCCGAACAGG
This 254-nucleotide ribosomal RNA is filed under the name uncultured bacterium. RNAcentral's name for it is "partial 16S ribosomal RNA". It matches the Rfam family "Bacterial small subunit ribosomal RNA", at positions 524 to 776 of the family's 1533-position model. The record is from RNAcentral.